RNAcentral lists this transfer RNA (73 nucleotides) under Actinomycetota bacterium. RNAcentral's name for it is "tRNA-Thr". It matches the Rfam family "tRNA". From Rfam's summary of the family: Transfer RNA (tRNA) molecules are approximately 80 nucleotides in length. Their secondary structure includes four short double-helical elements and three loops (D, anti-codon, and T loops). Further hydrogen bonds mediate the characteristic L-shaped molecular structure. tRNAs have two regions of fundamental functional importance: the anti-codon, which is responsible for specific mRNA codon recognition, and the 3' end, to which the tRNAs corresponding amino acid is attached (by aminoacyl-tRNA synthetases). tRNAs cope with the degeneracy of the genetic code in two manners: having more than one tRNA (with a specific anti-codon) for a particular amino acid; and 'wobble' base-pairing, i.e. permitting non-standard base-pairing at the 3rd anti-codon position. The record is from RNAcentral. Lineage: Bacteria; Bacillati; Actinomycetota.
GCCGGUGUAGCUCAACUGGUAGAGCAGCGCUCUUGUAAAGCGCGGGCUGGAGGUUCGAGUCCUCUCACCGGCU